UACGGAAGGUCCGGGCGUUGUCCGGAUUGACUGGGCGUAAAGGGUGCGUAGGCGGUUUGGUAAGUCAAAUGUGAAAGCCCGUGGCUCAACCACGGAACUGCAUUUGAUACUGCUAGACUUGAGUUCGGGAGAGGCAAGUGGAAUUCCUAGUGUAGCGGUGGAAUGCGUAGAUAUUAGGAGGAACACCAGUGGCGAAGGCGGCUUGCUGGAACGAUACUGACGCUGAGACACGAAAGCGUGGGGAGCAAAC
This 250-nucleotide ribosomal RNA is filed under the name uncultured prokaryote. RNAcentral describes it as "partial 16S ribosomal RNA". It matches the Rfam family "Bacterial small subunit ribosomal RNA", at positions 524 to 773 of the family's 1533-position model. The record is from RNAcentral.